UGGAGAGAUGGCCGAGUGGAUGAAGGCGCGCGACUCGAAAUCGCGUAUCCUGAAAAGGAUCGGGGGUUCGAAUCCCUCUCUCUCCGU
This 87-nucleotide transfer RNA is filed under the name subsurface metagenome. RNAcentral's name for it is "tRNA-Ser". It matches the Rfam family "tRNA". From Rfam's summary of the family: Transfer RNA (tRNA) molecules are approximately 80 nucleotides in length. Their secondary structure includes four short double-helical elements and three loops (D, anti-codon, and T loops). The record is from RNAcentral.